This 492-nucleotide ribosomal RNA is filed under the name uncultured bacterium. RNAcentral's name for it is "partial 16S ribosomal RNA". It matches the Rfam family "Bacterial small subunit ribosomal RNA", at positions 29 to 507 of the family's 1533-position model. The record is from RNAcentral.
AGUGAACGCUGGCGGUAGGCCUAACACAUGCAAGUCGAACGGCAGCACAGUAAGAGCUUGCUCUUACGGGGGGCGAGUGGCGUACGGGUGACGAAUACAUCGGAAUCUAGUCUUUCGGGGGGGAUAACGUAGGUGAACUUACGCUAAUAUCGCAUACGAUCUACGGGGGAAAGCAGUGGAUCUUCGGACCUUUCGCGGUUGAAUUAGCCGAUGUCGGAGUUGUUAGUUGGCGGGUUAAUGGCCCACCAAGUCGACGAUCCGUAGCUUGUGUGAGAGGAUGGUAAGCCACAUUGGAACGGAGACAGGCACAAUGGUACUAAGGGAGGCAGCAGUGGGGAAUAGUGGACAAUGGGCGGAAGCAUGAUCCAGCCAUACCGAGUGGGUGAAGAAGGCCUUCGGGUUGUAAAGACCUCUUGUUGGGAAAGAAAAGCAGCAGGUUAAUACCCCGCUGUUCUGACGGUACCCAAAGAAUAAGCACCGGCUAACUUCGUG